RNAcentral lists this ribosomal RNA (753 nucleotides) under Francisella tularensis. Its description in RNAcentral is "partial 23S ribosomal RNA". It matches the Rfam family "Bacterial large subunit ribosomal RNA", at positions 1 to 746 of the family's 2925-position model. The record is from RNAcentral. Lineage: Bacteria; Pseudomonadati; Pseudomonadota; Gammaproteobacteria; Thiotrichales; Francisellaceae.
GAGAAGCUGGGAAAGGGCACACGGAGGAUGCCUAGGCGGCGGGAGCCGAAGAAGGACGUGCUAAGCUGCGAAAAGCCCGGGGGAGGUGCACAGGACCUGUGAUACCGGGAUAUCCGAAUGGGAGAACCUGCAUACCUGGAGGGUAUGCGCGAGAGAGGUAAGCCGGCGAACUGAAACAUCUAAGUAGCCGGAGGAAAAGAAAGUAAAGACGAUUCCCUGAGUAGCGGCGAGCGAACGGGGAGGAGCCUAAACCGUAGAUGUGUCAAAGCUGGCGGCGUUGCAUCUGCGGGGUAGAGGGAACAUGCUGGGUCAAAGCCAUAAGGCCGGGUGUAUCAUGACGUAAGCGGAACGCGGCUGGAAAGCCGGACCGUAGGAGGUGAGAGUCCUGUAGAGCGUAAAGUGAUGAUAUACCGUAUGUAAUCCCGAGUAGCAUCGGACACGAGGAAUCCGGUGUGAAUCAGCGUGGACCAUAUCACGUAAGGCUAAAUACUUCCGCCGACCGAUAGAGGAGAGUACCGUGAGGGAAAGGUGAAAAGAACCCUGAGCAAGGGAGUGAAAAAGAAUUUGAAACCGUGUGCUUACAAGCGGUAGGAGCGCGAAAGCGUGACUGCGUGGAUUUUGGUUAAUCAUCCUGCGAGUUAUGAUGUGUGGCGAGGUUAAGUAUGAGCGGAGCCGAAGGGAAACCGAGUCUUAAUAGGGCGACGAGUCGCAUGUCAUAGACGCGAAACCUAGUGAUCUAGGCCUGUCCAGGCU